UCUGGAGAAUACUAUGUUUAGAGAACUUACAUUAUAGUUGGAGUGAUGAGAUCCACCCAUGUGAAAAGUUGGGUGACACCACAGGCAUUACAUCAUCACAAAUGUCACAAAGCUGCUUGGAGAACCUGGCAUACUGAGAAGCACAGAGAUUGGUGGCGUCUUCAGGAUUUCACAGUGGCAAAGAUCCAGAGAGGUGGUCAGGGAAGCCUUCCUGGGGGAGGUGGCAUAGCAGCUGAGCUUUGAAGUCUGAGUCAGUUUGGACAUCAUGGAUGGGGUGGCAGGGAUUGGGGAAAAAGCCAAGGGAGAUAUUUGGAAGUGGGGAAGCUCCAGGAUGUCUGGAGGCCUGGAAGUAGCUCAGAUAGGUCGGGGCAGUGGAUUGGAGUCAGGAAUGACCCCUCGGUUGAGGAGUCUGCCCUGGAGGAAGCAAGGAAUUGUGGGGGCUGAUAAAGAGGCUGUGAUGGAGGCUACUGAUUCAGGGGAAGGUCCGCAGAAGGUGUCUUAGGUCUGCUUUAAGAAACUGUGAAGGGGCUACUGAGAAGAUGGGCAUCUGCCAAGGAGUUAGCCUUGUCCUGUCAUCUCUUGGUCCCACCUCCCUUCUACCCAGAGCCAGAGUUGGCCUUAGGCUGAUGUGACUGGUGUCAGCCUGGCACACGCACCUGCGAUGACAAUCUGGAGGCAGCAGAAUGUCCAUAGAGGUUAAAGAGCACACAGAGCCUUCAAAUUCCAGGUCUAACCCAUUAAAACCCACCAGCAGAGGGCCAUGAGGAACUUACCCGUAGUCAAACAGAGUUAAGGUUAUCAGCCUGCUGCGGGGAGGAAGAGAGCACAUCAUGGGAACUGUGGGGCAUCCUAAAGGGGGCACUGUAGGAGGGACACUUAACAGAGUUUGGGGGCUGGAGUUAAUUAGAGCAUCAUCUUGGUCAGAAUUUGAAGGGUUGCUGGAACAGUCCGAGGUCACAUCCUUAGAACACACCAGCCAUUAGGGAAUUGCUGUCAGAUCAGUUUGUCUGUGGUCUUAUCUUGGAACAGAUGGUUGUGAAUGAGCUGGUGUCAAAAGACUUUGAGCUUAGAUAGUCUGUGAUGAGCCUUCAUCCCAGUGGUACUGUUAUCUGUUUUCUGAGUCAUCACACAGGACUUUCUGCAAGUUGUGGCUUUUGUUCCAAGUCUCAGUUCCCUGUUCAUUGCCUAGCUGCCCGCAGGACCAUCUUCUAUUUAAAGUUUGUCCUUGGGAAAGUUACUUGACCUCUCUGAGCCUUGGUCACUCAGUGGUUAAGUGGAGAUAAUAACGGUAGCUACACCAUGGAGUUCUGAGGAUUAAAUGAGUUAAUAUAUGUGGAGCACCUAACAGUGCCUGGCAUACAGGGGGUGCAAUAGAAAUGUCAGCCAUUAUUACAACUGCAGGCCUUCAAGAUCAGGAAAAGAAUGUUGAUGCCUCAAAAGAAAGGAUAGUCUGCAAGUUUAUUUUCCACUUCAAAGGAGAAAAAAGGGGAACAGCAAUAUGAGAUACCUUUGCCAGGACAGACACUGUCCUGGGAGCAGCCAUCAUGAUCUAGAACAAACAAGUCCGGUGAGAUUGACGUGAUCUUCUGAGAAAGAGGGAAGGAAUGAGCUCAAGGGAUCCUUUGAGGUUUGGCCCAUCUGCAGGUAAACGGUGGUGGUGAUGCACUCUUCGUUAGUUUAGCCGAGGACAGGGCAGGAGGAAAUGAAGUGAAGAAAUGACACUGAGAAUCUGGAUUUGACAGUAGAAGAGACGUCUGACUCUGAGCUGCUGAGUAUUAGGAUUGGGGGAAGCUAAGAGGCUGUGGGCUCCUGGCCACAUCUAACCAGAGUGGAAGUUGUGGUGCAGAGGAGGGACCUCUGGUCUGGGGGUCAGGCAGUCUCAGUCCUGGUAUUGAACUUGCCUCUGAGUAGCAGGGGCAUGGCUUUCUGCCACUCAGUCCUCACUCUGGGUCUUAGGCUCCCCUUUUGUAAAAGGGAGGAUUCAGGAUAGAUGGGCCCUUCAGGCGUCUUGCUUUCUUGGCUUCAAGGCAUCCUGGAGAUUACUGUCAUUCUUUCUCAUAACUGCACAAUAUUCCCCAAUAAUGCAUGUUCUCCUAUUGAUGGACAUUUCGUUGUUUCCAGUCUUUUGUACUUACCAGCCAUAGAGCACAUUUUGUUUGUGUAUCUGCAUGGAGUUAUAUGCAUUUUGUCUUUAAGAUGCCAAGUGGAAUUGCAGUAGACAGGAUUUGAGCAUUUGUGAUUUUCAUGAUCUUGCCAAAUCACUCUCCUUAGAGGUUGCACCAAAUUAUAAUCUUACUGCCAACUGUGGGCCCUGCUGUUUUACUUAUGUGGUGAGGAGUAGUGGGUGGGAGGUCUUGGUGAUCAAGCGAUCAAUACAUCUUCCACUUCUAAGGUCACAUGACCUCAGGGCCCUGCUCUGGUCAGAUCCCAUUUCUUAAGGCCCCAAAUGCUUAGCCAAGCUUGGCUUCUUGCACCUCAGCUCUGCUGCUUCCUCUCACCUUGGCUUUUCUGCUUUCCAGCUAUCCCUAAUAAGAGAGAGAGAAAGCUAGAGACAGAGAAUGUGUUCCAGGUGCUCAAUGUCUUACUGGUGCUGUGCCUGCAACUAUCAUCAUUCCAGCUUCUGUGUACACACACCUGGCUUCCCACAGUUAAGGUGGAGGAGGAGGCAGCCAGCCAGCUGUGUGAAGGACUGAACCCGUUAGGCUGUGAGACUGAGGGGCAAACUCACCAUCCAGGGUUGCACUGACAGCCUCAGCUGAAGGCUCACCCUUAACAAGCUGAACAAGCCUUCUGACAAUUGCUGUCAAUUUCGUCCCAGGAAGAUGCUGGCAGGACCUAGAUCUUGGUUAUGACCUGGAGCCAUGCCCAGAAACACUCAAAUCUAUCACCAAUAAUUGUCCAUGGGCCUGGCUGAAGGGGAGCCUCCCUGACAAACAAACAAGUGGAAAUCUGUCACAAAGGAAGCAAACACACCCCAUGACCAGGAGGGCCACUCAUUCCUCUUGUUCUCAUUGGUUUGGCUGCUGCAUGGUAAACUCACUUUAAGCAUCGUUUCUUCAAUUGUCCAGGCUCAUGAAAGUGGUCAGCAAGUCCUCCUUAAACUCUACACAUGCCUUUGUAAUGUUUACGGGAGGCCCUGCCUCACCCCCAAUUAUUUAUUCAUCAGACAUCUCCUGGGCACCAGUGUGUGUCAGGUGCUGGCUGUGCAUGGGUGGCAGAUGCCCAAGGCUCUGUCUCCACUCUGGGGAAGUUGCUGAGAUGAGCCUCCCAAAGUGAAAAGUGACAGGUGUCAUAGACAAGGCAGUUGAGCAAGGAUUUGCAUGGAGCCAUUUGCAUUUUCUCACCAAGUCCCCUUUGCUAUCGAUUGAUUCAUUUCAACAUACAUUUGGCAGUGGUGGGCGCCUAUAGUCCCAGCUACUCGGGAGGCU
This 3428-nucleotide long non-coding RNA is filed under the name Homo sapiens (human). RNAcentral's name for it is "HSALNT0394175". The record is from RNAcentral. Lineage: Eukaryota; Metazoa; Chordata; Mammalia; Primates; Hominidae.